Molecule: long non-coding RNA, 601 nt
Filed under: Sus scrofa (pig)
Lineage: Eukaryota; Metazoa; Chordata; Mammalia; Artiodactyla; Suidae
Description: lncRNA (ENSSSCG00025009817.1)
Source: RNAcentral
CCCCACAUCCUGACACAGGCAGCCCUGAGCUGGUGGAUUCUAAUGUUAUCAGUUAUUGAAUGGCUGCAACCAUGAGACUGACUGACCAAAACUGAGGACCUGGACUUCAGAGCCCCUGCUUUUGACCAAGAGACCCUCCAGCUGAGAGCUUGGAUUUACAAGAAUGUUAGAUGUGAAUACUAGAACACAUGAGCCCAAUUGCAUUUCGUGUCUCCAUCUUCGACUGUCUAGUGUGUGAGCCGGUUGCUUUUAACAACCCCUGAGUCAGUCUAGUGAAGAGAACCUCUUAGCCAAGGUUAAUUAUCAUCACCGAAAUCACCAUGGCGUAAGUCUUAUGCUUUCAAUAAGGAAUUGGUGGUGAUUCCUGAAGGCAAAGAUCCCAGCCAGCUGAGACUGGGACUGAUCAGAAGCAUCCAGAGUAGCCACUCAGGAGUGGAGAAGCCUCUUCCUGCUUAGUGUCACUGGGCAAGCACCAAUUUGAGAAAACAGUGAGUACUAUUUUUAGGAUCAAAAAAGACUAGGGAAUUGUUCUUUCAUUGAGUGGAGAAGAGAUUGGGGGAGGGAAAAGAGAAAUGUGCAAGGAAAGGGAAGAGGGGGAGUU